RNAcentral lists this ribosomal RNA (428 nucleotides) under Bacteroidota bacterium. RNAcentral's name for it is "Bacteroidetes bacterium partial 16S ribosomal RNA". It matches the Rfam family "Bacterial small subunit ribosomal RNA", at positions 355 to 776 of the family's 1533-position model. The record is from RNAcentral. Lineage: Bacteria; Pseudomonadati; Bacteroidota.
UAGGGAAUCUUCCGCAAUGGACGCAAGUCUGACGGAGCAACGCCGCGUGAGUGAAGAAGGAUUUCGGUUCGUAAAACUCUGUUGUUAGAGAAGAACAGCGCAUAGAGUAACUGUUAUGCGUGUGACAGUAUCUAACCAGAAAGCCACGGCUAACUACGUGCCAGCAGCCGCGGUAAUACGUAGGUGGCAAGCGUUGUCCGGAUUUAUUGGGCGUAAAGCGAGCGCAGGCGGUUAGAUAAGUCUGAAGUUAAAGGCAGUGGCUCAACCAUAGUAGGCUUUGGAAACUGUUUAACUUGAGUGCAGAAGGGGAGAGGGGAAUUCCAUGUGUAGCGGUGAAAUGCGUAGAUAUAUGGAGGAACACCGGUGGCGAAAGCGGCUCUCUGGUCUGUAACUGACGCUGAGGCUCGAAAGCGGGGGGAGCGAACAGG